CUUGGUGAUAAGAGCGCGAUGGAACCACCCGUUCCCAUCCCGAACACGGAAGUGAAACGUCGUAGCGCUGACGAUACUGCACCGCGAGGUGUGGGAAAAUAGGUCGUUGCCAGGG
This 115-nucleotide ribosomal RNA is filed under the name Chloroflexota bacterium. RNAcentral also lists the same sequence under 1 other name. Lineage: Bacteria; Bacillati; Chloroflexota. The record is from RNAcentral.